Molecule: ribosomal RNA, 374 nt
Filed under: uncultured eukaryote
Lineage: Eukaryota
Description: partial 18S ribosomal RNA
Rfam family: Eukaryotic small subunit ribosomal RNA
Source: RNAcentral
CAAUAGCGUAUAUUUAAGUUGUUGCAGUUAAAAAGCUCGUAGUUGGAUUUCUGCUGAUCGCUGUCGGUCUGCCGUCAGGUGUGUACUGGCAGUGUUUGGCAUCUAUUCGAGAUUGGGUGUCCACUUGAUUGUGUGCACUCGAUGUCGGAGCUAAUACUUUGAGAAAAUUAGAGUGUUCCACGCAGGCGCGUGCCUUGAAUACUGCAGCAUGGGAUAUUGGAAGGCCGAUUGAGCUUUCUUGUUGGUUCUCGGUUUGAUCGGAAUGAUUAAUAGGGAUAGUUGGGGGCAUUCGUAUUCAACUGUCAGAGGUGAAAUUCUUGGAUUUGUUGAAGACGGACUACUGCGAAGGCAUCUGCCAUGGAUGUUCUCAUUGA